UACGUAGGUGGCAAGCGUUGUCCGGAAUUAUUGGGCGUAAAGAGCUCGUAGGCGGUCUGUUGCGUCGGCUGUGAAAACCCGGGGCUCAACUCCGGGCCUGCAGCCGAUACGGGCAGACUAGAGUUCGGCAGGGGAGACUGGAAUUCCUGGUGUAGCGGUGAAAUGCGCAGAUAUCAGGAGGAACACCGGUGGCGAAGGCGGGUCUCUGGGCCGAUACUGACGCUGAGGAGCGAAAGCGUGGGGAGCGAACAGG
Molecule: ribosomal RNA, 253 nt
Filed under: uncultured bacterium
Lineage: Bacteria
Description: partial 16S ribosomal RNA
Rfam family: Bacterial small subunit ribosomal RNA
Source: RNAcentral